This is a long non-coding RNA of Chelonia mydas (Green sea turtle), 16547 nucleotides long. RefSeq lists it as uncharacterized. The transcript has 4 exons. NCBI's taxonomy places the organism in Eukaryota, Metazoa, Chordata, Testudines, Cheloniidae. The record is from RefSeq and is a predicted model, not a curated record.
AAGAAAAACCCAACUGCACAGACCUGCAAGGCAGCGAGGCCAACAAAGAAGAAAACAAGGUCUAAAACUGCAGAGAUUGAAAACACCGGUGAGACAGCAAGAGGUGGAGCCGAGCCUUGUGGCCCUGGAGCCGGGGUGUUUUGAGAAAACUAAAGACACAUGGAAAGCCAGUUUGGACUGGCACAGAGGGCACCAGGAGCAGAGGUCCCUGAACAAAGCAUCCUCCCUCCCCUCAAAGAGCCUGGGACUUAAAACCCUCCUGACAGCUGGAGCAAGUUGGAGAUCACAGCGAAUCUUUGGAUGACCUGGGCCCAGGACAGCACUCCUGUCCACCCUUUCCCCCCUCUUCUUACAUUACCCUCAGGUCAUUGGCCAGCUUUGGGUCGGGCGUAUGUGAGUAUGAAAGUGGGUCAGGGCUUGGGGCACUAAUGCUUUCUUCCUUCCUUUGAAUGAUGUGGAAGCAUUUCCAGCCCUGUCCGUGGGUAUUUUAUUAUUUUAUCAAUAAAGCUUUAAAAUUUAGACACUUGGUGUGUUACGUCAUCUCCUCCCUUAACGAUCCUGUGGCCUUAGACUGAUCAUCUGAUGCUUCAGGCAGAUUGGUAACAGAAAUCUGUCACAAUAUGGUGUUUCUAUCUUAUUUUCCUAUGUGAGUUCAUUUGAGGGUGUAGAGGUUGUCUGGUUUCACCAGUUGCUAUAGAGGCAUUUAGUGCACUGGAUGAGGUUCACUACAUGUUGUGAUAGACAUGUAUAAGACUCAUUAAUCUUGAAAGGUGUAUUGUGUGGGGUGUUAAUCAUUGUAGCAUUGGAGAUAUGUCUCCAGGUUUCACACCCCUUGUUCUGGCAGGGGCUGGUUCCGCUUUGAGUUGGUGGGUCCUGGUCUAUGGGGAGCUUUCGUCUCCUGAUGAGCUUGGGGAUUGUUUGAAGGCCAGAAGAGGGGACUCAGGACAGAAAACAGGACUGAAGAUUAGCAAAUAUAAAAAAAAAUUUAAUCCUCAGACUCCAGUCUGAGGUCACGAGUUAGUAGGUUUCUUUUCUGACAAUACCAUUACAACAUAAUUACCCACGUGCUAUGUUUAAAAAUGGGUCAAAUCAGCUGUAAAUCCACAAAAUCAUUUUGUAUUAAUGUUUAAAAUCAAAUUAAUGCACCAUUCAUUUAUGGCUCAUAAAUACAAAGACCUCUGCAUAACCUUGAUAGAGGAAUUUUAAAGAUGACCCUGUUUAAAUUCUAAAAUAUUUCCACAGAAAAUUUUAGAAGUAAUAGCAUAGCUCAAUGCACAAGCCAUUAAGUCAGUGUUUAACCACUGCAUAAGAUUAAAGUGAUUCAGCACAGCAUAACUCUUUCUACAGGCCCUUUUAUACACAAGGAUGUCAGAACUAAUUUAUUAUUUCUAUUAGUAAACACACCCAUUCUGUUAUAUACCCCAGACCAUACAACUUUACCCUGUCCUCCCAGGCUACCACCCUUCCAUCACUCCCUUAAUACACCCUUUACCAAACUAACUUCUCCUAACACAAUCAACUACUACAAACAUCCACAACUAUGUGUAUGUAUAUUAUUUGAGGUGGAAUCUGAAUCUUAUUGAUUGUUGUAAGAUUCUGGAAUCUAAAGCUUAUUGAUUGUUGUAAGAUUCCUUCAUUGUAAUUCAGCUAGGUUCUACAUAUCCAUUUAUUUUCCUCAGAAGCAAUCCCUCCUGCCCUUUCUAGGUCCUUUAAUCACCGAUGGGCAAUGCAAUUCAAUUAAGGCAUACUGUACCAGUGACUCAGGUCCCCAGGAUUUAGACUUCAGUUUCAGAGCUCUGUUUUUUUAAACUAUAUAAGAUUGGUGAGAACAUCAAAAUCUCUUCGCAUUGGUCUAACUGUUCCCACUGAUUUCAAUAGGAUGUUUAGCAUUUUUAACAAUAGUGAGCACUUUUGAAUUAACACUUAUUGUCCCGUUUUUCAUACUUAGGGUGGGAUUAUUUCCCCAAAACUUUGAAUAGAAACCUUCAGACUCUUGACCUAUUUGUAUGCAUUGUCUUAAAACACUUGGAUUUGCUCCAAACUGUUCCAAAUCAUCUCCAGAAAGUCAUUCUAUAAACAUUUGUUCUUCCCAGUGCUAUUUCCAACUUGUUUGGUGAAAUUACUGAUUUUGAAAUAAUAAAUUGCUUUAGGCAACACAUAAUUUCUCCAUUAUGAUUUAUAUCAGGAAAACCAAUCAAGUGAAAAACACUAAAUUAUUUGUGAAUGUCUUUAAUAAAGUAUAUAUAUAUACAUAUAUAUAUUUUACACUAAAAUUUUACAGCAAUAUUAAAUCUCAUUAAAUGCCUCAUAAAGCAAGACAUUAAGUAGAUGACAAGUCAUUCUUCUGCCCUCACUGUCACGAAUCCCUGUUUUUGUUUGCAAAUGGUUAUUUGGCCCAUGUGAUGGGAUAAUGAUAUUAGAUGUGCUCUCAAAUGUUUGGGAAGGUCAAAUGAAAGCUGAAAAAUCCUCUCCAUUGAUGAUUUAGUGUAAAUGAAUUUAGAGUCCUGUUUGACAUAAUCCCCAACUCAGAGACAGUCAGACAUUUCCCGUGACUCAGUUGGAGCUGCCCUCAUCCCUGCACAAGCACAGUUUUGUCUGUGUUUUAGAAUCACUUUGCCGUUUAUUGAGAACAUUUACGAGCAUUAAGUUCCAUUUAGAAGAAAUCAGAGGCAACAAUUAGAGACUGAAUUGAUAGCUAGCAUGGUAACAGAGAUCUCUUCUAAAGUAUUGUCUGGAGCAGCACUUGGCCAGUUUCUGGAGAUUAAUAUAAUUUUAAAUAUCCUGCUAGAUGUAUAUCAUUAAAUGCCCACUGAAGUCAGUUGGAAUAUUUCUACUCACUUCAACGGGCUUUGGAUCAGUCUCAGUGAUAUCAUACCAAGCCAGAUAUUACACAGAUAGCGUUAGGGUCACAUGGAAAAUAUGAGUUUGCUCCUUAUCAGGCAAAUCAGAGGAGCUUGCAAUGUGACUUGAGAAACGACUAGGCAGAGUGUUUUGGGCAGCAUUCAGGACACAGAGGCCAGACUGUAUCACUUUAUGAUGCAGAAAGUGUAUUGUCCUUUGCCCUUAUGUGUCUGCCAAGAUUGUACCUAGUAUGCUGCUUUCAGCUCUGACCAUCUCAUUACCAGAAAGAUAUGGACAAACUGGACUGAGGUCAGAGAAAAUUAUGGGGAGUCUAAUUAAUGAGGUAAUUAAAAGCAUUGAUUAGUGAAGUAACAACUAAAGGGUGACAGAUAUCUACAAAUGUGUGAAGAAUCAAGGAGGGAGAGGAACUGUUUAGCAUGGGUUCAGAAGGGUAUAAUUAGAAGUAAUGGAAUGAAGUUAGGAAAUGAGAAAUAGGAAUCAGAAAACCAACUCCCUCAUAGUGCUAUAUAGUCUUUAAGGAAACUGCUUCACUCUCCAGUACUACAAUGGACAGCACACUUGAAAAACUGAUUAAAAAUCCUGCACUUGCAAUGGGAAGAUUAAUUGACCUAUUGGUUCUUCUUUAUUUCUAGUGUAUUACUCUAUGGCAUAAGAAUCAAUGAUGAUCCAUCAGUUAGGUUAGCAUCUGGCUUACUUUACAUUUAUUUUAAAAUAUGCCUCCUGCCACUCACUGUGUCCAGUAUACAGUGCCAUUCAAACAGGGCCUCGAGAAACUAAUUCUUCCAAAGAGUACAGGUUCUGUCUUGGGAACAAGAAAAUGUGUUUCUAGAUGCUGACUAUGUUAUCAAGUAAACCACGUCAAUAUGAGCCCCUGUCUUCAGAACAAUGAUUGUCCUGGGAAGAACACUGAGGCUUUACAAGCCUGUCACUUAAAAACAUCCCCAUUCCGUUUUGACACUGAUUUGGUGCAGCAUCGGAGAUUGAAAAAGAAAGCUUUGCAAAGCAGCAUCCCUGCAGAACUCAGCAAAUCUUAAACGAGAUGCUGGCAUUUCUAAACAGAAUUUCUGUGUUUUGUAUCAAUGAUUCUCAACCUGGCACAUGGGUACACCAAUCGAUACUCAUCAUCAGCUCUGAUGGGGUCAGGAGCAGUGGAGACACCAUCUGGGACCAGGGAGGAGAAAUCCCAGGUGGGAGCAGCUAAGGCAAUGUUUCACAUGACCCCCGUUAUUUCCUUUGAUCUCAGUGUGUGCGGGGGGGCGGGCAAUGGGCAGUUUAUUUUCUCUUCCCAGCCUUCUUCCUUGUGCUCAAUAUAUUGGGAGGGGUCACGUGCUGAUCUGGGACUAGGACUCCAGAACCUGUCCUACCUAGUGUUGCUGCCACUGGGUGGUGGGUGUGUUGCUGAGUUCAGGUGAUCAACUCCCAUUUGGUGGUGGAGUGGGUAUAUGUGUGCAGGGUUUGAUACCAUUUGAUGACUAGACAGGGAAGCCAUUCAGGCUUCCUGUGUCAGCCCCUCUCUUUAUCUAGUUGCCAGAUCUCGGAUGAUACCAGGAGCUGAGCUGAUUGCCAGUUCUGGGGCCUAGAACGGAUUUUUAUCAUAUGCCAACAAUGACAAAUUGCUGUGGUGAUUUUUUCACCUUCCAUCCAGCAUUCAGGAGCUCUGGAUUGGAGGGGGAGAGGUAAAUAGGCUUGUUCCAGUGCAUUUCCUGCGUUAGAAAGUGUCCAACUGAGGUCCCUGUAACUCAGCAUUGGUCACAGGCACAGCAAUGCCUCUGUGUCUCGCGCAGCUAGAGGCUCACCUCAUCUUCUCUCUCCUACCUCCAGUGAGAGGAGGUGGUUGGGACUCUAGGUUCCAGCUAGGAUCCUCUGGCAGAACUGAGGAUAUAGAGGGAGCACAGCCUUCAUGCUCACCCUCAGGGACCAUUCAGAACUGCACUGCAAAAUAAUAGCAGGCAGGUUUGAGGUGGUUACCAGAGUUUGGUAAUAAUCUAAAAAUAUAAUUGAAGUAUCUGAAUUUAACUAUAUUAUCAUGUCCACAUCAAUGGUUCAAUUUGCAAUAUCUUGAAUGCAUUAAACUGUUUGCAAGUAAUAUCCAUAGGAAGAUUAUUACCCCAAAUACUAGAAGUUUCUACUAAAAAUCUCUUCCAUGUACUAUAGUGCUCAGAGGAGUGCAUACUCAGACAAUUUGGGGUGAUGUAGCCAAACAAAGGUCUCUGAUGUUUUUCUAUUUAUAUAUCUUCAUACAUGAGUUUGUUUAUAUUUAAAUAUACAUAUUAAAAUUAGUUCAACCAAAAAAACUCACUGAUUCAAAAGUUAAAUCCACAAAUCACUUUUGAGAAUCAAAGAAUUUGAUCUUUGCUUGCUGUACAGGAAUAAAAAAGUAAAUACUGGAGGCAUAAAACAGCGACAUUUUAAAAGAAGGAUAAUAAUAAAUGUAUUAUUUCUAUGCAAGGCUAUCCAACCUGAUAAAAUUCAGGAAGAUUAGAGUUUAAAAAGUUAGUAAAUCAUCAGAAAAUCUAUUUCUUCAAUAUAAAAGCCCUUUGACCUGAUGCAAGGACCACUGGAAUCAGUGAAAAGAACCCCAUUGAUUCCAAUGGGCUAUGGAUUAGACCCAUUAUGAACAAAAGAUAGAAAUAACAACUAAAGGAUGCAAGGGGGAGGAGGGCCAAGAAAUAAGGGGAAUAAAAGUCACACUUUCAAAUAUGGCCUUUAAAAACCACCUAUGUAGGCUUUUGUGUACUGACCAACUUGUUGGGUAGCCACUCUGUGUACACAGUUUGCACCUGCAGAUAGAUUUUCAGAGGAACCUAAAGGAAUCAAGCUCCCACCUCCCAGUGCAAUUCAGUUGGAGUUGGGCAUCUUACUCCGUUGGGCUCUUUUCAAAAAUCUCAGCCACAAUCCAUUGCACAGGCAGAACUGAGGACACCAGUGUCAGAAUCUGGGUUGAGAUCACUUUGGGGAAUUUAAUCCAAGAGACUCAGCAACAGCAAGUCUCAACAUACUUUCCCAAAUGCAAAAGGUAGUCUCCGAAAACAAAUAUUAAGCACCUAAAAAUAGGAGGUUGGGGAUGUUAGCUAGAAUGCCUUUUUCUAAAAUAUAUCCAUUUACAUAAAGACAAAUAACGUCUCAAACUCUCCUUUUGUUUGUGAGUCUGGAGUAAAGGUGGGACAAGUCAUUUUGAAGAGUUGGAGUACUUCCAAAAAUUAGGGUGAAGUAAGGGUUACAUGUCAGCAUAUUGUAAAGCACUGUAUCAGAAACCCAGAGUCUGUCCUCAUUCCCACCGAAUAGGCACUGUUCGCCAGUUUAGCUAAGGGCAUUGGCAACAAUGUUUGAUACACAUCUAAAGGGCAAAUGCAGCACUGGUCAUUACUCCUACCCCUGGCAGACAGACAGCUGAAGGGAUUCUUUCAUAAAGCAGCAGCGCUGGAAGUCUAUCAUCUUCCUCUUUCACCUCAUUUCCCAAACCACAUACCACAAGCACCAAUUGACAGCAAAUCUUACUGAGUGUGCACUAUUCCGGAGAGAGAGAAAGCUAAAGAGAGCUUUCAGGAGAACUUCCGUUCUCUCUUUUCAAUGAAUUCAAGAACUGAGUUUAAAACAAAUUUAUAUAUAAGACACAAAACCUUCCAUCUAACCUUUCUAGCUGGCUCAAAACCUUUGGUACAAGGCUAUUAAUCAGGUCCCUGCUGAGGCUUUCCUCCAGCAGACUUGCUACCCACACUGCAAACUUCCUAGCCACAGCCCAUUUUCUGAAGGCUUGCACUUCCUAGACUCUCUGCCAGCUAAGGAGAGUCUCUCUCUGAGUUUAGGCUGUCCUUCCUAAUUCCAAGGAGGCCUGGCUCCAAGCCACAUGCUCCCAUCAUGUGACCAGACUCAUUUCCUUCUCCUGGGGAAGCGGACUACAUCUGGCACUGGUGAGACUGAGCCUUCCUCCUAAAGGGCCAGCUUACACUUUAACAACAACUGUUUCAUGCCUGUGUAACUUUACUGAAGUCACUCACUCCCUGGUAUUUCUGCUUUGAAAUCAAUGGAGAAAUGGAUAUAAAACUGGAGUAGUACAGUGGUGAAUUGGGCCUUUAUUUAGUCGUGCUGGCCAUUGCUACAGUCAGUCCCUCAUUUUUAUGAGCACAAACAUUCACACCUCUUGUCAAAAAUAUUAAAAAGGGAACAAAAGGAAUAAGGUAUCUUCCUAAAAAUUAAUUAAUCCUGCAUCUUUGUUUCUUUCCUUCUCCUAUCGCUAGACACAUGGAAAUGAAGGGAGCACUGUCAUCCUUCAGUGCUCCAGAUGGUAGAAUUUUGAAAACAUGCCACAGGCUGAUUGAAUUGGCUUGUGGCACUAAAACUUUAAACCUUGAAAUUCCUGUCUAAUUUCAAAGUCUUUCAAAAUGAACAGCUAUAAAGAUAAAAGGGUAAUUUGAAGCCACAGUUUGUUGGGAACAUUCUGUAGGUACAUUAGAACAUUCCAUUGAGGAUCCUUGUUAGCUAGCGAGUUUCAUCUGGUUAAUUUGAUAACAAUAUGGGAAGAUUAUAACAUUUGCACAUCCACUUGCCUGCGGACAUGGCUUAGGCUACAUAGACUAAACCCAGGAAUGCUGGAGGUAUUUUCUUUCUUGAAUAAAAAUUUAGUAACUACCUAAAUUCAGGAUCUUAUUGUUUAACUUUUAUUGUACAUUCCAGAGGCGAGGGGAAAUAGUUACUGAGAAUCCUGCUAGUUGUGGAUUUUUCAUGGCAUUCAUGAUUUUCAAAUGCUAUAAGUAUAGUUACAUACAGGAGAUGCUCAGCACCUUGCAGGAUUGGACCCUGUACAUGUGAGCAGUGACCAUAUCAUAGCAAUAGCCUGGCUUUAGGAUACUCUUUCCUAUAUUUUUACACAGUAGCACCAAGGAACCAAACAAAUGGGUGGUAAAUGCUAAAUUGCUUAUUCACAUGCCAUUAAAUAUUCCAUGUUAGUACUCCAGUCUUUUAAUUCUUAUUCAUAUCUGACUAUGCAAGUCUCAAGGAGCCUCUUCAAAACUUAGCCACACAGAAUAGUAUUAAAUAUAAUAUCUAAGAAUGAAAAGCUGACAUUGAUUCAUCCUGAAUUUGGAAGAUUUUUCUAUGAUCAGACAGUGAUUAUGAGAUACAACUGCUUUUACUUUGACAUAUCUGCUAGGAUAUAUCAACUUGAGGGAAAGAAUACACAAAAGUGGAAGCUUGCAUUAAGUAAAUGGUAACUGUUAUCUGCAUGCAUUUUUAGUGGUUGCCGCAACACUGUUCAAUAUUAUGUUAUGGAAAGUUCUCUGAAGGAGGUGGUGUUUGUUUUUUAAUCAUUAUGAUCAUUUGGGAGGCAGUGGGUGAAUCCCAGUGAGAAACUCCACUAUAGUGCAUAACUAAAGGCUUCUGGGAAUCCUGGCUUACUUGACAGCUGGAAAAUGAUUUGCAGGGUCUUGUGGAUAUUUCACAUCUGUAGAAGAGGUCAUUGGCAUAUAAUGAAGUGUGAAAUAGAAAACGUUAAUCUCAUUUUACCUAGUUUUUCACUAGGAAAUUAUCUCUCCUUGGGCAAUGGAUAGUGCCAGACAAAUAUGGAUGAGUCAUGAUGAAGAAGUAUUACAAAUACCAUACCAGCAUAUUAACCGAGAAUCAACACUACACAACGGAGAUUGACAGUGGGAUGGCCCUAUACUUGUCCUCGAUUGGUUGGAUAAAACUCUGGCAUUCAACUGGUAUCUUGUCUAUCUCAGUGCUCCUGCUGUUACUACCAUGAGAGGGGCUGCAACAAUGAUACAAAUGAAAUCUGCUGAAAGCAAGCAGACCUACAAGAACCAACUCUGGAAGAGACACCUGAGUGCUGCAGAAACCAGAAGUGAAAUCCUGGCCUUACUGAAGUCAAUGGAAGUUUCACCCCAGGAUUUCACCCCAUCUGCCUUUUCUGAAUGGCAUAUGUUACCCAACCUAGGAUAAUAUAAUUUGUUAAACAAUGUGUAUAUAAAACUGGAAAUUAAAAACAAGGAGGAGGAGGGAAAGCUGCAUUCUGCUACUCACCAAUUAAUUAGCAAGAUAAAUCUAUGUAUUAACAUAAUCAGUGAGCAAAAUAAAGGAGAAAAUAGGAAACCUAUGUUACUUUCAAUAUUUGGAUACAAACAGAAUUCUUGAGGGUGCUUUAUGAUGUGUCAAAUUGAACUGUAAGAAAGUGAACCUAAAUCAGUAGGCAAGAGAUUUUCAAAGACACAGACAGCAGUUAAAUAGCUAAUUCUCAUGGACUUUCCAUAGGCAUUAUGUGCUUAGUGGCUAGUUCUGCCUUUCAAAAUCUAUGGACACCUAUGUGGUGUUGAAGAUCCCAACCCAUAGUUAAAGUUUCUGUAUUUCAUUUAUGCAGGGGGUGCUGCAUGCCCACUUACUCAUUCCUGGAACAGACCAAGGCCAGUUCUGGGGAGGGGGCAAGCAGGACAAUCACUCAGGGCAUCAACUCCCAGGGGCAUCAAACUCCUGUACUGCUCAGUGUUUCCUCUCCUCCCUGCACUUUGCUCCUGAGUGGCCAGCUCAGCUGCUCAAGGCGGGGAUGGGGAUGUUUUUCACCCUGGCCAGCUAAAUGGCUUAGAUGACUUCUGGAGCAGAGGGUGAGUAGGAACAGGCAAUGGCAGGAGCUUUGCCGCCCAUGAGAGUUGGAUGAAUAAUUGAUUUUUCAAUUUGGUGGCAGUUCUAAAAAACACUGGGGGGAAAAAAACAGGUUAGGGAUUAAAUGAAUCUGAAUUUUUUCAGAAUUUGUGGUGAAUUGAAAAAAGUCUGUUCCAGAGAAGGGAUUUGAACCAGAAUCUCCCACAUUCCAGGUGAGAGCCGCUGGGCUGUUGGUUACAAAUUGUGGGGGGAAGGAAUCAGCACCACCAACUGCUACCUUUUGCGAGUGGCCAGAAUUAUUACUAUCAAAUUUGCAAUUAUUUUGAGGUUGACUAAAACUGCAUUUUUUGUCAAGUAAACUAUUCAUCCGAAAAACUUUGGCCAGCUCUCCUGGCCAGUCCAGCUGAGCUGGAGCAAGGGGCAGUAGUAAAUUACUACCACUCCCUCUCUCCAUAAAAUAAGGAGGAAGGAAAGUAAGAACUGUGCCUCAGAGCCAUGUCUCUGAGGCACAUGGCUUCCUCAGCUACCCCUAGGGUGUAAGCUUUGAUAGCUAAAAACCCACUUCUUUAGAUGCAUGGGGUAAAAAUUACAGGCAAAUUACAGGUAAAUUUAUAUUGGCAUACACACACGUGGGUAUCUGUAAUUUUAUGUAUGUUAUGCCUAUAUCUGUAAUUUUCACUCCAUACACCUGAAGACAUGGGUUUUCUACCCAUGAAAGCUUAUGCCCAAAUAAAUCUGUUAGUCUUUAAGGUGCCACCAGACUUCUUGUUGUUUUUGUGGAUACAGACUAACAUAGAUAGCUACCCCUCUGAUACUUAGUACCCCUAAGGUGGUGAAGCUUACAUAUCAUCUCUUGCUCUGGGCUAUACCUAAAGUCACGAGACGCUAUACGAACUUAUUUCUCACCUAUCCUUGAGAAUAACAUACCAGGAUUUUGGAAUAAUGCUAACUAUUACACCAUCUCCUUUUGUAUUGAGUUAAUAUAUGUGGGAUAAAAAAUAAGAAUGAAAAAAAGAGUAAUAAGAAUACUAUAGAGUCAGGCUAGACAGUAGCAGAGGAAAAAGAGUCAGAGUCUAAACCCUCUUUUUGAUUUCUAUGAAACUGGAAGUAACAAUAAAAUUUCUGAAGUAUAGUGUAUGUUCUGUCCUAGUUCUAGUCAUGACCAGAGAAAGUUUUUAGAAUAAUUCAAUCUGACAAAGAAUAACGGAGGAUUUCUUUAAUUCAGUGUUACACUUACUACAGAAUGCUCCGUGAUCUUCCACAAUCAAGUUCUAGAGCACAUGAAAACUCCUAUACACAGGAAUUUAUGGAAUAGGUAACAAAAGGUCAGCUUAGUCCCAUUUGCCCUGCCCCUUGCUUGUUAAAACUUCUUUCAUAUUAUGGCCUUACUUCUUCCACUGUUUCACACAUUCUGAGCAGUAGGAUCAUACAGACAGAAAAAAAUUAGAAUGAAUUUUGUUUUAAAAGAAAAGAAUAUCACAGCAUUAAAAUAACCCAUGGACUAAAAGUGAAUGUUCGCAAACCUAUCUUACCACUGUUUUCCAUGGGAGCAUAGUGAAUGUGGUUUAGUUACUCUGUUUAAUUCUGAAUUUAGUUUAGUUUCGUAUGCUUGUUUUGUAGGUUUAUAUUAUAAUGCCGCCUGCAGUGAUUGAGUAUGAAUACCAAAUUUGAGGCAGACUGUUGGGACCCAUGGCACAAAUGCAAAAUUGGUUUUGAACUCUAUACUUAGGUUUCACCAACCAAGUGUAACAUCCUCAGGCACGAGAACAACCUAAACAUGGAGUCACAGACAGUCUCCUUGGGUACUCCAAUCUAUCUUCCCACACAGGUGGGCAUACCCUUGUGAGAGAUGAUCCCUUACACCAAGAAUCAAUCAGGUUAUUAUCAGUCCUAAAGGACCAGCCACUUACCCCAGGACAAUUGCACCUUAGAUCUCACACCAAAGACAACGCUUGUAGCCAAUCCUAUAAUAAACAAUAUGAGAAUUUAUUAAAUAGGAAAAAAAAACAAGAAAGUUAUUUACAAGGUUAAAACAGGUAAUACAUGCACAAAUUAUUUACAACCUUAACUUUCAAAGGAUAAUAGAAACUUCUAUAAUAAAUAAGCUCAGUUUGAACUUUAGGGCUAGCCUUGGCUAAGCAGCUGGGGAUCGCUUACAUGUGCCUAGAAAACCUUGUCCCCCCCACUUCGCCCCCCAGGGUCCAAGCAGCAUAGAGAUACAGUUCCUUCUUGUAAGGGAUUUUAUCCCCUUCCCCCCCUGUGCUCUAAACUGUAAACUCAGCCACUUGCAUACUCAUCUUCGGGGGGGGGGGGUGAGUGGGGGGCAGAAUAACACAUGUAUUUUGUCCUCUUUAAUGCCACACAAUAGUCUGUCUGGUGUUGAUAGACCUUUCCUGUUGGGCAGGAUGUAACCCUUUCUGUUGGUGAUUAGCAUUUGACUCUUGCUAAUGUCUCUCUCCUGUCUGGUGAUUUACACAGUUACAGAGGUUCACAAUACAACUGCUCAAAUGUUACCUUACAAUAUGGGGUACAGACGGUAUAAGUGAGGAUGCUACAUGCAGCAACUAACAAGCAUUCGAUAAAGUUUAAACACUAAAACCAUUCUUAUAAUAAAAUGCUUACUUUAACAAUACUAACACACAGGUGAGACAGACCAGUCUCAACUGAAUACUGACAAAUACAUAAUUGGAAUCAGAGACCGUGGCAUGAACUGGCACUUGCUCUGCCAGCAUCACAAUAAUUGUGGGAGGAUUUAUGAAGAUUUAUUAAGGUCCUUCCUUGACAGCAUCGAAAAGGAACAAAAAAGGUGUUGCAUGCUCACACUUGCAUUUAUGAGAACAUUGCUGAAAUAUAUUUUGGCCUGGAUCCUACAAACACUUAUGCAUAUGUGUAAUGUAAUAACAUGAUACAUGUGAGUAGCCCCAUGGAUCUGAAAGAGACCACUCAAUCAUAUGAAAAGGUAUGGACAUUCUUAAGUUGUUUGCAGGAUCAGGGCUAUCAAUAGUAUACAAACACUAGAAAUCAGCCUUUUCUGAGAAACAAAUGCAUAAUAAUAUGUAUUAUUUAAAACCUUAGUUGGAGUAUGGUUGUGGAAAUCUAGCUACUUAACCCAGAAAGUUGGACAAAUAGGUUUAGUCGUGUGCAAAAUUCAUAAUUAUGUUUUAUUACGUUUUCAAAAAAUUAAGGCAUAUCAUCUUUCAUGAGUUACCAUCCCCCAAAUUCUGCCUUGUUCACAACUUGUAUAAAUUGACUAUUUUUGCAUUCAAAGUGUAUAAAAACAGAACUGAUCUGGCAAAAGCCACCACUACUUGGAAAAAAUUACUAGACUUUAGCAGUUGAUUCUGCGCAAAAGGGCCAAUAUGAAGAUUUAGAAUGAAGUUCUGAAAACUGAAUUUUUGGCAGUCUUACAUUUUCCCACUGAAAUAGCAUUAGAGUAUAGUGUAAACAGACUGCUUCAGCUGACACAGGAAAACUACUUUUUAAAAGGACAUUUGCCUUCCAUUGUCAGUGAAACACAUUCAUCCUUUGGAGUUUAUGUGCUUUCAUAGAUUUAGAAUGCGUUGCAGGACGAACUCAUCUCUGUUAGAUGGGUGUAACUUCAUUGUAGUCAAUAAAGUUACAAGGGGUUAAAAACAGAACUUAAUUUGGAAGCAAAAUGUGAUUCUGUUUAUGUUGCAAACCAGCCAUUCUGAUUUUAGUAGAAUGGUCAUGGGAUAUGUCCAACAUAUACUUUAUAAAACACUUCAUUAAAGGAGCUGUUCUAAGGGCCUCAGAAAUAGUGGCAUGACUGCGCCCUCAUACAGUUUAAUUCAAUUGCAAUUGAUUCCGUUACAAGUUGAAAUCAUAUAUUGGAGGGAAAAAUUGUGUGUCGUGUUCUCCCCACACUGAGCAAGUUUAAAAAUAUGUAUGAGGUGUGUUUUGGCAUGACUUUUCUCUCGUAAAAAUCCAGUAGAUUUUUUUGUCCAACAGACUUCCCAGUAUCUGAUGUUCAUUCAUAGUGAUUGCAGAUGAACAUCUGGUCAGUUUAUAGAAAUGGUACAAUGUCAUAUUGAAGCAGUAUUUUCUUGGUUUGAUUUUGUCAUCUGCAAACUUUAUCAGUAAUGAUUCUAUGUUUUCUUCCAGGUCAUUGCUGAAAAUGUUAAAUAGACUAUAGCCAAACACCAGACCCUGUAGAACCUGGAUAACAUGCACCUUGCUCAGUAAUGAUUCCCCAUUUACAAGAGUUGUCAGGUAGCCAGUGCUUAAUUCAUUUAACACAUACCAUGUUGAUUGUGUAUUCUUUUAGUUUCUUAGUCAAGAUGUCAUGAAGUAUCUAGGCAAAUGCUUUACAGAAACCAAUGUAUUUUACAGCAUCUCUUUAUCAACCAAACUUGUAAUCUCAUCAAAAAAUGAAACCAAGUUAGUUUGACAAGAACUUUUUUCCCCGUUGGCACGAAUUAUAUUAUCUUUAAUUCUUUAUUGAGUCCCAUAUCAGGCAUGCCAUUCUUUUCCUGGGAUUGAUAUCAUGCAGACAGGCCUAUAAUUACAGGCAUCAUCCCAUUUACCCUUUUUACUGUGAGAAAAUGGCCAAUGUUGGUAUGGUGGGUCCCACACUUUUCUUGGUGGCAGGCUUAGAGGCUUUUCUAGGCCCCUGCUCUUGGGGCACAGAUGGCCCCACUAGUGGCCCAGGAAGGUUGUAGAGGAGGAAGUGGGGGAGGGGUCUGGGUUUGCGCCUCACUCUGAGCCCUAGCCCCUCAAUCCCUGCGGGUGUCUUACUCUCUUCCCCUUUGGGUAGGGUUGCUCUCAGUCCUUGACACUGGGAGGGGGAGUCUCCCUGCCCUGCUUGGGCAGAGUACCCUUCCUUUGGUUCGCUGGUCUCUCAAUUCUCAGCAACAUACCUCCAAACUUCAGUCCUCCUGCCUUCCUCUCACACACUGACUGCCUGAAGUUUUAUAAGUUCCUGACAGGGCCUUAAUUGACUACAGGUGCUCCAAUUAACCUGUAGCAACCCUCCCUAGUCUACAGGGAACCACACCUUAAAUAGCCUAGGGCUUAUAUAUGCUCCUUAUACCACUCUCCUCAGCUAGCACUCGCCCGCAUCCCAGUGCUCAAAUGGACCACUCUCUUACUGCUCCCUGGCCGUGCUGUAUCACUUCACAUUACAUAUUGAGACAGCAUUAGCUUUCCUUUAGUUGUCUAAAAUCUUGGUAGUGUUCCAAAACCUACUGAAAUUCAAUAUUACCAUCAAAAUAGCUCUUUGGCUAUUCUUUAAAACUCUUGGAUGCAAGUUCUCUGGACCUGCUGAUUUUACAAUGUCUAACUUUAUUAGCUGCUGUUUAACAUCCUCCUGAAAUACUGAGGAUCUCUGUGUUUAUUCUAGAUAAGUAAUGAGUGACUUCCCAGGAUAGGGUCAAAGAGGUGCCACAAACCUAACGCAUAUCAAGCAGAGGGCACUCAUAUACCUUUUAUAUUUGGGAGAGGCUUCAGGCAAUAAGCAUUGUAUAACACAACUUAAUAUACAUCUCUAUCUAGAAUUAAUAGCAAUGUUCGAGACCAACACAUCAUUUCCUCACAGUAAUAUCAGCUAAAUAGAGGCCCUAAUCUUUCACUCAUUGGUUUCUAACCCCAUUUUUUCUUGUUAGGUCACAUGUAAACAUAGUUUAAUAUAAAAUAAUCCUUGAACUAAAAGAAUCCUUUGGGAUAUGAAUCCUCAGAAUUUGCUAUUGUAAAAUGAGGGUUUGUUCCCCCCUCUUUGCAUGUUUAAUCAGCUCUCUAGAUAGGCUGGAAAAAGGUCAAUGAAGAGGGCCAACGGUUCUUUAAAAAUAAUAAAACCAAGUCCCUUAUACAGCUUUUUUAAGACUUUUGGAUUUUCAGUUUUGCAUUUCUGGAAGAUAAUCUUAAAGUCAUUGGGAAUUGUUAGAAGUAGUCAGACAGAUUUUAGCUUAUCCAACCCCCAUUUGAGCCAAACAUUAUGAUAUAUUUUGUCUAAUUAUAUAUCUUAUGUUGGAUAUUAUACUUAUAGAGCAGUAUUCCAUACUAGCUAGACCACUAUCCACAGUUACUGCUUUUUAUAAUAAUAUAGCAAAGCAUUAAUGUAACAAAACUAAAGAACAAAAAGCACAACAAACUGAGUUUGUGCUGCCAAGAACAUGAUUGGGUGAGACCACUCUAACAUGAGGGGAGUAAUAAAAUAAAAUGACCGACUUUGGCUCACACAGUUGCCAAAAUGACAAGGAAAAAUACAUUUUAAUGUAGCUUUCUUUGCGCCCCACCCACUCCAUGAAAUACUUAGUGAGGUUUUUUGGAACAUCAAUGGGGAUAGAUUUACAAUUAAUUUACUAGGUAAAGAUAGAGGCAAUUAUGCCACAAGAACAUUCCUGUUGUGCUUUAUAUGAGUGUGAAUAACUUGUCUGCAAGUACUUUAUUUUUGUCCCUGUGAGUCACUGCUAUUUGUUAGUUAAUAUCACCUGUAAAUUUAAUCAAGGAGCUCUGCUAACUACAGUAGGGAGUAGGGAAUUAAUUUUAGUUGAACUUACUUAAUGGAAAGACUCAAUAAUUGUUUACAUUAUUGCAUACCUGUGAUGGAUAAAGUAGGAUUUUUUUUAGUAAAUCUGUAUAUUUGCAUGAUUUGAUGUAGACUUCCCAACAAUGUCAUGGGAAUCUUGUUAUGCGAUUCCUAUGUUAGUUUUACAGGCUCUGGAAGUCCAGAUAGUUCAGGUAAACUACUUUUGUAACCCACUAAAUAUGUAUGAGAUACUUAUGUAACCCAUUAAAGUUUGAUUACACAAGUACCCACGAAAAUUCCAUUUUACUGCAGGAAUAGUGAGCGGGUUCCAUCUGUUUUGACAGUGGAACUCCCAUUUGUGGAUACUAACAAAUAUGAUAAAUAUGCAAUUUUGGAUAGCUGUGGACGCCCAUAUGCUGAGUUGCUCUAGUUUGGAACAAAGACACCAGAAUAUAAUAAAGUUGCUCAGACUGAAAAAACAAAAACAAAAAAAACAAAAAAAAAUCAAAGUUUGUAAGAAGACAAUGAGGGUUAACUACAACUCUUCAUAAAUCUAAAUGCAAUUUUAUCAUUACAGCAAAUUCUAUGCAUUUCUUCAGUACCAAAAGGU